AGACUUGGUCGCGACGCGGGUGAAAGUGUAGUAUCUGUUCAUAUUAGCUUAAUAUCUCACACGGAUUCUAUCUGGACCCGAAAUAUUAAACUCCUCAGUGCAGGUUGGCCGAGUGCCUAAAGCCUGAUCCACCGUCGCCGCUGGUCGGCCCGGUAUUGCAUUACCUCCGGGAUCGGCCCACGGCUU
This is a small nuclear RNA of Dermacentor andersoni, 186 nucleotides long. RefSeq annotates it as U2 spliceosomal RNA. The record is from RefSeq and is a predicted model, not a curated record. NCBI's taxonomy places the organism in Eukaryota, Metazoa, Arthropoda, Arachnida, Ixodida, Ixodidae.